AACUGUAGAGCUAAUACAUGCAGACAAUGGGCGCAAGCCCAUGCAUUUAUUAGAUACUAACCAACCCCGGCAACGGGUGUGGAGGAAUCAUAAUAACUGAGCGAAUCGCCGCAAGGCGAUGCAUCAUUCAAAUUUCUUCCCUAUCAGCUUUUGACGGUAAUGUAGUGGACUACCGUGGCGGUAACGGGUAACGGAGAAUUAGGGUUCGAUUCCGGAGAGGGAGCCUUAAAAAUGGCUACCACAACUAAGGUUGGCAGCAGGCGCGCAACUUACUGAAUCUCGAUUCGAGGAAGUAGUGACAAAAAAUAACGCCGCGGGGCCCAUUGGGCUUCGCGGUGGAAUGAGAACAAUUUAAAUCCCUUAUCGAAAGCAACUGGAGGGCAAGUCUGGUGCCAGCAGCCGCGGUAAUUCCAGCUCCAGUAGCGUAUAUUAAAGUUGUUGCAGUUAAAAAGCUCGUAGUUGGAUUUUGGAAGGGCGCCGUGGGUCCGCGCCUUCGGGCGUGUGCACCCAACGGUCGGUGGGAAACCACCAAUUAUUUUGCCCGUCCUUUAGGCCGAAGCUCUCCCGGGGGCGGUGCGUUCACGCGUGCCGUCCUUCCGGGGCCAAAGGGCCUCGGCCGCGUUACUGUGAGUAAAUCAGAGUGUUCAAAGCAGGCAGGAUCGCCUGAAUGGAUUAGCAUGGAAUAACAACGAACGACUCCGGUCUGGUUGUUGGUUAACAGGCCGCGAGGCACUUGAUUAAUAGGGACAGUUGGGGGCAUUCGUAUUCCGUAGUCAGAGGUGAAAUUCUUGGAUUUACGGAAGACGAACUUAUGCGAAAGCAUUUG
This 826-nucleotide ribosomal RNA is filed under the name uncultured microeukaryote. RNAcentral's name for it is "bacterial SSU rRNA". It matches the Rfam family "Eukaryotic small subunit ribosomal RNA", at positions 154 to 957 of the family's 1831-position model. The record is from RNAcentral.